GCGAAAGUAACUCAGGGGUAGAGUGUCACCUUGCCAAGGUGGAAGUCGCGGGUUCAAAUCCCGUCUUUCGCUUUU
This 75-nucleotide transfer RNA is filed under the name Borreliella burgdorferi 156a. Its description in RNAcentral is "tRNA-Gly". It matches the Rfam family "tRNA". From Rfam's summary of the family: Transfer RNA (tRNA) molecules are approximately 80 nucleotides in length. Their secondary structure includes four short double-helical elements and three loops (D, anti-codon, and T loops). Lineage: Bacteria; Pseudomonadati; Spirochaetota; Spirochaetia; Spirochaetales; Borreliaceae. The record is from RNAcentral. RNAcentral also lists the same sequence under 12 other names.